AUACGGAGGGUGCAAGCGUUACUCGGAAUCACUGGGCGUAAAGGAUGCGUAGGCUGGAUGUCAAGUUGGAAGUGAAAUCCUAUGGCUUAACCAUAGAACUGCUUCCAAAACUGGCAACCUAGAGUGAGGGAGAGGCAGAUGGAAUUAGUGGUGUAGGGGUAAAAUCCGUAGAUAUCACUAGGAAUACCGAUUGCGAAGGCGAUCUGCUAGAACUCUACUGACGCUAAGGCAUGAAAGCGUGGGGAGCAAACAGGAUUAGAAACCCUAGUAGUCC
This 274-nucleotide ribosomal RNA is filed under the name uncultured bacterium. RNAcentral's name for it is "partial 16S ribosomal RNA". It matches the Rfam family "Bacterial small subunit ribosomal RNA", at positions 523 to 796 of the family's 1533-position model. The record is from RNAcentral.